Molecule: transfer RNA, 73 nt
Filed under: Rhynchosia minima (least snoutbean)
Lineage: Eukaryota; Viridiplantae; Streptophyta; Magnoliopsida; Fabales; Fabaceae
Description: tRNA-Glu
Source: RNAcentral
GUCCUGUCCCGAAACCCAAUUUGGAUUUCCCGGCUUAGUAUGAGGGAUAAAUAUACCUAUCGAAUCUUAAUAA